UUCUUAUGGCUCAGAUGGUAAAGAAUCUGCCUCCAAAGCAGGAGACUCAGGUUCAAUCCCUGGAUCAGGAA
RNAcentral lists this transfer RNA (71 nucleotides) under Bos taurus (domestic cattle). It matches the Rfam family "tRNA". Rfam says of the family: Transfer RNA (tRNA) molecules are approximately 80 nucleotides in length. The record is from Rfam by way of RNAcentral. RNAcentral also lists the same sequence under 5 other names. Lineage: Eukaryota; Metazoa; Chordata; Mammalia; Artiodactyla; Bovidae.